RNAcentral lists this ribosomal RNA (305 nucleotides) under uncultured bacterium. RNAcentral's name for it is "partial 16S ribosomal RNA". It matches the Rfam family "Bacterial small subunit ribosomal RNA", at positions 334 to 641 of the family's 1533-position model. The record is from RNAcentral.
UGUUCCUACGGGAGGCAGCAGUGGGGAAUAUUGCACAAUGGGGGAAACCCUGAUGCAGCGACGCCGCGUGAGUGAAGAAGUAUCUCGGUACGUAAAGCUCUAUCAGCAGGGAAGAAAAAAAGUCUUUGGCUUUGGACGGUACCUGACUAAGAAGCCCCGGCUAACUACGUGCCAGCAGCCGCGGUAAUACGUAGGGGGCAAGCGUUAUCCGGAAUCACUGGGUGUAAAGGGAGCGUAGACGGCUGAGCAAGCCUGAAGUGAAAGGCGGGGGCCCAACCCCCGGACUGCUUUGGGAACUGUACGGC